AGAGCGAACGCUGGCGGCAGGCUUAACACAUGCAAGUCGAGCGGGCGUAGCAAUACGUCAGCGGCAGACGGGUGAGUAACGCGUGGGAACGUACCUUUUGGUUCGGAACAACACAGGGAAACUUGUGCUAAUACCGGAUAAGCCCUUACGGGGAAAGAUUUAUCGCCGAAAGAUCGGCCCGCGUCUGAUUAGCUAGUUGGUGAGGUAAUGGCUCACCAAGGCGACGAUCAGUAGCUGGUCUGAGAGGAUGAUCAGCCACAUUGGGACUGAGACACGGCCCAAACUCCUACGGGAGGCAGCAGUGGGGAAUAUUGGACAAUGGGCGCAAGCCUGAUCCAGCCAUGCCGCGUGAGUGAUGAAGGCCCUAGGGUUGUAAAGCUCUUUGUGCGGGAAGAUAAUGACGGUACCGCAAGAAUAACGCCCGGCUAACUUCGCGCCAGCAGCCGC
This 447-nucleotide ribosomal RNA is filed under the name uncultured bacterium. Its description in RNAcentral is "SSU rRNA". It matches the Rfam family "Bacterial small subunit ribosomal RNA", at positions 26 to 518 of the family's 1533-position model. The record is from RNAcentral.